UACGGAAGGCAGCAGGGGGGAAUAUUGCACAAUGGGCGCAAGCCUGAUGCAGCCAUGCCGCGUGUAUGAAGAAGGCCUUCGGGGUUGUAAAGUACUUUCAGUCGUGAGGAAGGUGUUAAGGUUAAUAACCUUAGCAAUUGACGUUAGCGACAGAAGAAGCACCGGCUAACUCCGUGCCAGCAGCCGCGGUAAUACGGAGGGUGCGAGCGUUAAUCGGAAUUACUGGGCGUAAAGGGCACGCAGGCGGUUAAUUAAGUUGGAUGUGAAAUCCCCGGGCUUAACCUGGGAAUGGCAUUCAAGACUGGUUAGCUAGAGUCUUGUAGAGGGGGUAGAAUUCCAUGUGUAGCGGUGAAAUGCGUAGAGAUGUGGAGGAAUACCGGUGGCGAAGGCGGCCCCUGGACAAAGACUGACGCUCAUGUGCGAAAGCGUGGGGAGCAAACAGGGAUUAGAUACC
Molecule: ribosomal RNA, 454 nt
Filed under: uncultured bacterium
Lineage: Bacteria
Description: bacterial SSU rRNA
Rfam family: Bacterial small subunit ribosomal RNA
Source: RNAcentral